AAGAUCAUACUUCACAGGAUCAUUUCUGUAGUAUGUAUCGUCCCCUCCAGGUGCAAAUCUGGAGUCGUCAUUGGCCACGAUGAUGAGACAUGGUCCAUGUGCCGGAGCGUGAGGCUGCUAAUGGUCUACUGCUAACGCAGUUGGAACAUUUAGCGACGAUGAUCGCAACCAGCCGCAAGGUUGGGAGGUACGUGGACAGUCUGAGUGGU
This is a small nucleolar RNA of Aphis gossypii (cotton aphid), 209 nucleotides long. RefSeq annotates it as small nucleolar RNA U3. The record is from RefSeq and is a predicted model, not a curated record. The transcript has a single exon. NCBI's taxonomy places the organism in Eukaryota, Metazoa, Arthropoda, Insecta, Hemiptera, Aphididae.